GCGUGGGUAGUUCAGCCCAGUAAGAACCCGCAGCUCGUAACUGCGUUACAAGGGAGCAAAGCCCUUCCCACGCCCCA
Molecule: transfer RNA, 77 nt
Filed under: uncultured archaeon
Lineage: Archaea
Description: tRNA-Thr(cgt)
Source: RNAcentral